CUGUUACUUUUGCUAAAAAAAAUUAAUAACAGUUACAAUGACGGAGUGAAAGAAAAGACAAGCAAAGCCUAAAACUCGGGAAAUGUGAAGGGCAUCAAGUUGUUGGGCGGACAGAAGCGACGCAACCGUUUUUGUAUGUUUUCAUUGAUAAUUUGAGAGAAGAAUAAGUAGAGCUUCUGUUUGAGAGGAAAUGGGGGAUCCGAUUGGAAAAAUCUCUGCCCGUUAGCGGGGCUGGGAUCUUCUUCCACGGUGACUGGUUGAUUGCCUUCAAAAUGGGCAU
Molecule: long non-coding RNA, 280 nt
Organism: Neltuma alba
Lineage: Eukaryota; Viridiplantae; Streptophyta; Magnoliopsida; Fabales; Fabaceae
Exons: 3
Source: RefSeq, a predicted model, not a curated record